Molecule: long non-coding RNA, 659 nt
Filed under: Homo sapiens (human)
Lineage: Eukaryota; Metazoa; Chordata; Mammalia; Primates; Hominidae
Description: HSALNT0407370
Source: RNAcentral
CCCGGGAAAAAACAAGAAACCCAUUCCAUCCUCCUUUCCAGGCCUUCGCCCGCCCGAGACCCGCCGUCUCCCGGAGUUCUCGGGGAUAACGGGCUCAGCUGCGAAGUUCUUCCUUGAGCAUCUGAAUUUGGUUGUGGUCAGAUGGUGGAUAAAGCUGGACUUAUCUGAAUCUUCUUUCGUCACAUGUCUGGAGUGUCUGGAGUGGCUGGAAAACAGCUUCCUCACAAGUCCCCCUAUGUUAUUGGGGACAGAAUUGUGCCCAGACAAGAAAAUGAUGUUUCCCAGCCUCCCCUGCAGCUGAGUGGGGACAACCAUUGAGAUGCCGUUGCAGGGCUCCGCUUUGGAGCGGGCAUUGGAGGAAUUCUUUGACCACCAAGCAGCCUCCAUACCUCCCUCCUACAUAACAGAGCCACCGAGAGGCUGUUUGCAUUCUGCCUGCUUUCUCUUUUUCCGUUGCAGUAGUUUAUUAAUUAGUGUGCAAAAAAUAAAAAGGAGGUAAUAACCUUAUUUAUGUGCUAGUCCACGUGUUCAGUGUGCUCAUUUUUUCUGCAGCCUGGCAUCGGGAACCGGAACGUUUGGCCCCAGGAGAGGGGGCCGGGACCCUGGGUGCCAGAAUCUUACAGUGCGGAGGCGACAGGCCAACGCAGUUCCUUCCUUUU